Molecule: ribosomal RNA, 1012 nt
Filed under: Pseudocamarosporium propinquum
Lineage: Eukaryota; Fungi; Ascomycota; Dothideomycetes; Pleosporales; Didymosphaeriaceae
Description: eukaryotic LSU rRNA
Rfam family: 5.8S ribosomal RNA (bases 660-813)
Source: RNAcentral
UCAUGGAAGUAAAAAGUCGUAACAAAGGUUGAUUCUUCCCGCGCACACUUGCGGAAGCCUUGCAGCUGGAGACAGUAGCCCAACGACUAUAAACAAUCCGGUGCCUCAUGCAAGUCAGCUCCGGCUGGCGACACUUUCGAAUUGCGGGGAACCCCUAAGAGCCCUUCACACCAAGCCAGCCUGGGAAACCAGCUGGUGGCCCAUUGGAAACCAUGGGGUACGGUAACAGUUGAAGGGAUGAUCCGGCACCGCCAGGUGUCCGGUGAAAUGGGCAAUCCGCAGCGAAGCCCCUGGCGUUAAUGGUAGCGGUCUGCCGCAGCCAAACGUGGGGAACGUUCACAGACUAAGUGGAAGUGGGUGGAGCGCUGCAAAGCUCUCUGCUUAAGAUAUAGUCGGGCCCCCUCGGAAACAUGGGGGAUGAACAAACGUUCCGUAGGUGAACCUGCGGAAGGAUCAUUAUCUAUUUUAAUGGUGUUGGUCGCGGCCCCCGGCGGAAGUGUCCCCGGGCGGUAGAGGUAACACUCUCACGCGGCCACAUGCCUUCAUCCUUUUUUUACGAGCACCUUUCGUUCUCCUUCGGUGGGGCAACCUGCCGUUGGAACCUAUCAAAACCUUUUUUUGCAUUUAGCAUUACCUGUUCUGAUACAAACAAUCGUUACAACUUUCAACAAUGGAUCUCUUGGCUCUGGCAUCGAUGAAGAACGCAGCGAAAUGCGAUAAGUAGUGUGAAUUGCAGAAUUCAGUGAAUCAUCGAAUCUUUGAACGCACAUUGCGCCCCUUGGUAUUCCAUGGGGCAUGCCUGUUCGAGCGUCAUCUACACCCUCAAGCUCUGCUUGGUGUUGGGCGUCUGUCCCGCCUCUGCGCGCGGACUCGUCCCAAAUUCAUUGGCAGCGGUCCUUGCCUCCUCUCGCGCAGCACAUUGCGCUUCUCGAGGUGCGCGGGCCGCGUCCACGAAGCAACAUUACCGUCUUUGACCUCGGAUCAGGUAGGGAUACCCGCUGAACUUAAGCAU